Molecule: ribosomal RNA, 623 nt
Filed under: Hohenbuehelia subreniformis
Lineage: Eukaryota; Fungi; Basidiomycota; Agaricomycetes; Agaricales; Pleurotaceae
Description: eukaryotic LSU rRNA
Rfam family: Eukaryotic large subunit ribosomal RNA
Source: RNAcentral
CAAAUCAGGUAGGACUACCCGCUGAACUUAAGCAUAUCAAUAAGCGGAGGAAAAGAAACUAACAAGGAUUCCCCUAGUAACUGCGAGUGAAGCGGGAAAAGCUCAAAUUUGUAAUCUGGCGGUCUUGGGCCGUCCGAAUUGUAAACUAGAGAAGUGUUAUCCGCGCUGGACCGUGUACAAGUCCCCUGGAAUGGGGCGUCAUAGAGGGUGAGAAUCCCGUCUUUGACACGGACUACCAGGGCUUUGUGAUGCGCUCUCAAAGAGUAGAGUUGUUUGGGAAUGCAGCUCAAAAUGGGUGGUAAAUUCCAUCUAAAGCUAAAUAUUGGCGAGAGACCGAUAGCGAACAAGUACCGUGAGGGAAAGAUGAAAAGAACUUUGGAAAGAGAGUUAAACAGUACGUGAAAUUGCUGAAAGGGAAACGCUUGAAGUCAGUCGCGUUGGCUAGGGAUCAGCCUUACUUUUGUGGGGUGUACUUCCUUGUCGACGGGUCAGCAUCAGUUUUGGCUGCUGGAUAAAGGCUGGGGGAAUGUGGCAUCCUCGGAUGUGUUAUAGCCCUUGGUUGGAUACAGUGGCUGGGACUGAGGAACUCAGCACGCGCAAGCUGUGCUUAGGAUGCUGGCAAA